This 639-nucleotide ribosomal RNA is filed under the name Weissella minor. RNAcentral describes it as "bacterial SSU rRNA". It matches the Rfam family "Bacterial small subunit ribosomal RNA", at positions 65 to 674 of the family's 1533-position model. The record is from RNAcentral. Lineage: Bacteria; Bacillati; Bacillota; Bacilli; Lactobacillales; Lactobacillaceae.
ACUGAUAUGAAGAGCUUGCUCGGAUUUGAAGAUGAACAUUGCAAAGAGUGGCGAACGGGUGAGUAACACGUGGGAAACCUACCUCUUAGCGGGGGAUAACACUUGGAAACAAGUGCUAAUACCGCAUAAUACUGAUAACCGCAUGGUUAUCAGUUGAAAGAUGGUUCUGCUAUCACUAAGAGAUGGUCCCGCGGUGUAUUAGCUAGUUGGUAAGGUAAUGGCUUACCAAGGCAAUGAUACAUAGCCGAGUUGAGAGACUGAUCGGCCACAAUGGGACUGAGACACGGCCCAUACUCCUACGGGAGGCAGCAGUAGGGAAUCUUCCACAAUGGACGAAAGUCUGAUGGAGCAACGCCGCGUGUGUGAUGAAGGGUUUCGGCUCGUAAAACACUGUUGUAAGAGAAGAAUGACAUUGAGAGUAACUGUUCAGUGUGUGACGGUAUCUUACCAGAAAGGAACGGCUAAAUACGUGCCAGCAGCCGCGGUAAUACGUAUGUUCCAAGCGUUAUCCGGAUUUAUUGGGCGUAAAGCGAGCGCAGACGGUUGUUUAAGUCUGAAGUGAAAGCCCACAGCUUAACUGUGGAAGUGCUUUGGAAACUGGAUAACUUGAGUGCAGUAGAGGAGAGUGGAACUCCAUGU